AGGAGGUUGGCUUAGAAGCAGCCAUCCUUUAAAGAAAGCGUAAUAGCUCACUGGUCGAGUCGUCCUGCGCGGAAGAUGUAACGGGGCUAAGCCAGUCACCGAAGCUGCGGAUAUGUCUUAUGACAUAUGGUAGGAGAGCGUUCUGUAAGCCUGCGAAGGUGUCUUGUAAAGGAUGCUGGAGGUAUCAGAAGUGCGAAUGCUGACAUGAGUAGCGAUAAAGAGUGUGAGAAACACUCUCGCCGAAAUCCCAAGGGUUCCUGCGUAAAGCUAAUCUGCGCAGGGUAAGCCGGCCCCUAAGCCGAGG
This 304-nucleotide ribosomal RNA is filed under the name Prymnesium parvum. RNAcentral's name for it is "partial Bacterial large subunit ribosomal RNA". It matches the Rfam family "Bacterial large subunit ribosomal RNA", at positions 1095 to 1401 of the family's 2925-position model. Lineage: Eukaryota; Haptophyta; Prymnesiales; Prymnesiaceae. The record is from RNAcentral.